RNAcentral lists this transfer RNA (74 nucleotides) under Stegodyphus mimosarum. It matches the Rfam family "tRNA". From Rfam's summary of the family: Transfer RNA (tRNA) molecules are approximately 80 nucleotides in length. Their secondary structure includes four short double-helical elements and three loops (D, anti-codon, and T loops). Lineage: Eukaryota; Metazoa; Arthropoda; Arachnida; Araneae; Eresidae. The record is from Rfam by way of RNAcentral.
GCCUUCAUGGUGUAAUGGUAAAGCACCUUCAGCACAAAUUCAGGAGGUCUGUGGUUCGAGUCCCGGUGAGGGCA